Molecule: ribosomal RNA, 253 nt
Filed under: uncultured bacterium
Lineage: Bacteria
Description: partial 16S ribosomal RNA
Rfam family: Bacterial small subunit ribosomal RNA
Source: RNAcentral
UACGGAGGGGGCUAGCGUUGUUCGGAAUUACUGGGCGUAAAGCGCACGUAGGCGGCGCGCCAAGUUAGAGGUGAAAGGCCUGGGCUCAACCUGGGAACUGCCUUUGAUACUGGCGUGCUGGAGUACGGGAGAGGGUGACGGAAUUCCCAGUGUAGAGGUGAAAUUCGUAGAUAUUGGGAAGAACACCGGUGGCGAAGGCGGUCACCUGGCCCGGUACUGACGCUGAGGUGCGAAAGCGUGGGGAGCAAACAGG